Molecule: non-coding RNA, 24 nt
Filed under: Cricetulus griseus (Chinese hamster)
Lineage: Eukaryota; Metazoa; Chordata; Mammalia; Rodentia; Cricetidae
Source: RNAcentral
GCCAUCUGUAGAUAAUCGAAUACG